Molecule: ribosomal RNA, 497 nt
Filed under: uncultured bacterium
Lineage: Bacteria
Description: partial 16S ribosomal RNA
Rfam family: Bacterial small subunit ribosomal RNA
Source: RNAcentral
GAUGAACGCUGGCGGCGUGCCUAAUACAUGCAAGUCGAGCGAACGGACGAGAAGCUUGCUUCUCUGAUGUUAGCGGCGGACGGGUGAGUAACACGUGGAUAACCUACCUAUAAGACUGGGAUAACUUCGGGAAACCGGAGCUAAUACCGGAUAAUAUUUUGAACCGCAUGGUUCAAAAGUGAAAGACGGACUUGCUGUCACUUAUAGAUGGAUCCGCGCUGCAUUAGCUAGUUGGUAAGGUAACGGCUUACCAAGGCAACGAUGCAUAGCCGACCUGAGAGGGUGACCGGCCACACUGGAACUGAGACACGGUCCAGACCCCUACGGGAGGCAGCAGUAGGGAAUCUUCCGCAAUGGGCGAAAGCCUGACGGAGCAACGCCGCGUGAGUGAUGAAGGUCUUCGGAUCGUAAACCUCGGUUAUUAGGGAAGAACAUAUGUGUAAGUAACUGUGCACAUCUUGACGGUACCUAAUCAGAAAGCCACGGCUAACUACGUG